Molecule: ribosomal RNA, 370 nt
Filed under: uncultured Planktothrix sp.
Lineage: Bacteria; Bacillati; Cyanobacteriota; Cyanophyceae; Oscillatoriales; Microcoleaceae
Description: bacterial SSU rRNA
Rfam family: Bacterial small subunit ribosomal RNA
Source: RNAcentral
AGAGUGCCGUAAGGAACCAGAAGACAGGUGCUGCAUGGCUGUCGUCAGCUCGUGUCGUGAGAUGUUGGGUUAAGUCCCGCAACGAGCGCAACCCUCGUCGUUAGUUGCCAUCAUUAAGUUGGGAACUCUAGCGAGACUGCCGGUGACAAACCGGAGGAAGGUGAGGAUGACGUCAAGUCAGCAUGGCCCUUACGUCCUGGGCGACACACGUACUACAAUGCGAGGGACAGAGAGCAGCCAACCCGCGAGGGAGAGCGAACCUCUUAAACCCUGGCACAGUUCAGAUUGCAGGCUGCAACUCGCCUGCAUGAAGGAGGAAUCGCUAGUAAUCGCAGGUCAGCAUACUGCGGUGAAUCCGUUCCCGGGCCUU